RNAcentral lists this small RNA (117 nucleotides) under Mytilus galloprovincialis (Mediterranean mussel). Lineage: Eukaryota; Metazoa; Mollusca; Bivalvia; Mytilida; Mytilidae. The record is from RNAcentral.
GAGACAAAAUUAUUGUGAGACAAAAUUGACUUUUGUGAGACAAAAUUGACAAUAUUGAAUUUUGUCUCACAAAAGUCAAUUUUGUCUCACAAAAGUCAAUUUUGUCUCACAAAAGUU